GAAACGACUGCUAAUACCGCAUACGCCCUACGGGGGAAAGCAGGGGACCUUCGGGCCUUGCGCUGAUGGAUAAGCCCAGGUGGGAUUAGCUAGUAGGUGGGGUAAUGGCUCACCUAGGCAACGAUCCCUAGCUGGUCUGAGAGGAUGAUCAGCCACACUGGGACUGAGACACGGCCCAGACUCCUACGGGAGGCAGCAGUGGGGAAUAUUGCACAAUGGGGGAAACCCUGAUGCAGCCAUGCCGCGUGUGUGAAGAAGGCCUUCGGGUUGUAAAGCACUUUCAGCGAGGAGGAAAGGGUGUAAGUUAAUACCUUACAUCUGUGACGUUACUCGCAGAAGAAGCACCGGCUAACUCCGUGCCAGCAGCCGCGGUAAUACGGAGGGUGCGAGCGUUAAUCGGAAUUACUGGGCGUAAAGCGUGCGCAGGCGGUUUGUUAAGCGAGAUGUGAAAGCCCCGGGCUCAACCUGGGAACCGCAUUUCGAACUGGCAAACUAGAGUCUUGUAGAGGGGGGUAGAAUUCCAGGUGUAGCGGUGAAAUGCGUAGAGAUCUGGAGGAAUACCGGUGGCGAAGGCGGCCCCCUGGACAAAGACUGACGCUCAGGCACGAAAGCGUGGGGGAGCAAACAGGAUUAGAUACCCUGGUAGUCCACGCCGUAAACGAUGUCUACUCGGAGUUUGGUGUCUUGAACACUGGGCUCUCAAGCUAACGCAUUAAGUAGACCGCCUGGGGGAGUACGGGCGCAAGGUUAAAACUCAAAUG
RNAcentral lists this ribosomal RNA (761 nucleotides) under Shewanella indica. RNAcentral describes it as "bacterial SSU rRNA". It matches the Rfam family "Bacterial small subunit ribosomal RNA", at positions 153 to 907 of the family's 1533-position model. The record is from RNAcentral. Lineage: Bacteria; Pseudomonadati; Pseudomonadota; Gammaproteobacteria; Alteromonadales; Shewanellaceae.